Long non-coding RNA from Melanotaenia boesemani (Boeseman's rainbowfish), 260 nucleotides. RefSeq lists it as uncharacterized. The record is from RefSeq and is a predicted model, not a curated record. NCBI's taxonomy places the organism in Eukaryota, Metazoa, Chordata, Actinopteri, Atheriniformes, Melanotaeniidae. The transcript is spliced from 3 exons.
CAUUGAAAGCAGGAUUAGUGUUGCCAAAUUUCUUCUCUCUGUUCUUCAGAUCAAGCUUCCCACUGCGCCUCUUGACCUAAACAGAUCAACUCCACCUGCAAGAUGCCCCCCAUUAGUGAGGCCAGUCCAGCCAUCCCAAUGCAUACAACUCCAUAAAAAAGACCUGCAAACAUUGAGUGAAAGUCCUAGCGCAGGUUUCAGGAGCUGUACCUGAUCAGGAGCAGAGAUGAGUCCUGUGGUCCAUGGGUCACAACUUUUAU